ACACUGUCAGAUGAACACUGUCACGGCUUUAAAAUAACACAUUGAGUGUAUAAAUCCAUUGAGGUUUACGGUUUCUAGGUGUUAAUGUACGUGGAAGUGGUCCGGAAUACCCGUGAUCCGGAAUACCCUUACCCGCUGUAUCUCUAUUUAUUAUUUC
Long non-coding RNA from Haliotis rubra (blacklip abalone), 157 nucleotides. RefSeq lists it as uncharacterized. Lineage: Eukaryota; Metazoa; Mollusca; Gastropoda; Lepetellida; Haliotidae. The transcript is spliced from 3 exons. The record is from RefSeq and is a predicted model, not a curated record.